Molecule: long non-coding RNA, 650 nt
Organism: Capsicum annuum
Lineage: Eukaryota; Viridiplantae; Streptophyta; Magnoliopsida; Solanales; Solanaceae
Exons: 5
Source: RefSeq, a predicted model, not a curated record
CAUUGAGAUUUAUCUACCAAAAAGUUUGUUUCUAUCUUUUCUGCUAUUUUUAUUAGUGCACCUCUAUCAUUGAGAUUUAUCUAUCAAAAAAUUUGUUCCUAUCUUUCUCCUCUCUUGGUAUAUUAAUAAGAUGAGAACUCUUCUGCUAUUCUGAGUCGUUGAUGGGUUCAGAUUUCAUAGAAGAAAUCUUGUUCUAUACUACUAGAAGAAGAAGAUUUGUCGGUGCAUGAUUUAUCUUAAUGCUAUCGCUGAGACUGACCUAUACAAGUGUGAGCUAGAAGAUUUGCCUGGCAGUUGUGGGAGGAACAAUUCAAGUCCCAACUCUAACGGCGAGGAAUGUUUCCAUGGAACAAAUGAUAGCAUUGAGGAGUGCUCUUCGUGAUGAAUUUCAAGAAAUACAAGACCAGUUCAGGGUUUACGUAGAAGACCAGUGUAUGUAGCUAUGUAAGAAAGACCAAAAAUUAAUGAAUUAUUAAGCUUCAAAUUAAAUAAUGGCUUGUAAAUUUACCAUGAGAAUCACUGUGAUGUUGUACUGUGAUGCCACAGCUUAUUUUGAGGGCUUUUUUGUUCUUGAGUUGCAACAUCUCAUGGUUCAAUUUUUGUACGUAUGCUGAGAAAAAAAUGGAAAACUUAAGAGGGUAUUUACAUCA